Molecule: ribosomal RNA, 926 nt
Filed under: Salilagenidium callinectes
Lineage: Eukaryota; Oomycota; Peronosporomycetes; Pythiales; Lagenidiaceae
Description: eukaryotic LSU rRNA
Rfam family: 5.8S ribosomal RNA (bases 270-424)
Source: RNAcentral
GGAAGUAAAAGUCGUAACAAGGUUUCCGUAGGUGAACCUGCGGAAGGAUCAUUACCACACCAUAAAAAACUUUCCACGUGAACCUGUACUACAAGUUUUGCGCUCCAUUGUUUUUCCAUUUUGGGAAUUCAGUAGAGCAGAACGAAGGUUGCUUUAUGAAUUCUUUCCCUCGGGAAGGAACGAUGAACUAACCGAUGUACUUUUCAAACCCCUUACCUAAUUUACUGAUAAUACUCCAGGAACGAAAGUUCUUGGUUUUAAUAGACAACAACUUUCAGCAGUGGAUGUCUAGGCUCGCACAUCGAUGAAGAACGCUGCGAACUGCGAUACGUAAUGCGAAUUGCAGAAUUCAGUGAGUCAUCGAAAUUUUGAACGCAUAUUGCACUUCCGGGUUAUGCCUGGGAGUAUGCCUGUAUCAGUGUCCGAAAAUCAAAAUUGCCUUUCUUUUUUUGUGUAGUCAGGAAAAGAAAUGAGCAGAAUAUGAAGUGUCUCGAUAUAUAUUCUCAUUGAGGAUAAUAAUUGAGUCCUUUUAAAUGGACACUGUCUCUCUAUUUGUUAUUGUAACAUGUAGUAUACGAGCGUAGGUUGAUCUAUUGAUCACUUGCGCAUGUUGACUGCUUUAUCAAGAACAUUAUAGGGGAAACCACGAUUUGCGGUAUGUUGUAGCUUCGGCUCGACACUGUUGCUUAUUGUGUGUGGACUCUGUUUUUGUUUAAGGCUAUUGACGUGUGUAGGACGAUUGUGGAUGUAUGCUUAUGUAAGUGUAUUACUAUCAGUGACGGUUGAUAUGGAUUCUUUUUGAAAAAGUAUUGAUUAAUGUAGAGUGUACAGUUUGAUUGGGAAAUUAAUAUGGUGCUUCGGCGCUGUAUCUCAAUUGGACCUGAUAUCAGGCAAGACUACCCGCUGAAUUUAAGCAUAUCAUAGCC